RNAcentral lists this ribosomal RNA (585 nucleotides) under uncultured bacterium. RNAcentral's name for it is "bacterial SSU rRNA". It matches the Rfam family "Bacterial small subunit ribosomal RNA", at positions 102 to 683 of the family's 1533-position model. The record is from RNAcentral.
ACGGGUGAGUAAUAUAUCGGAACGUGCCCUAGAGUGGGGGAUAACUAGUCGAAAGACUAGCUAAUACCGCAUACGAUCUACGGAUGAAAGUGGGGGAUCGCAAGACCUCAUGCUCCUGGAGCGGCCGAUAUCUGAUUAGCUAGUUGGUGGGGUAAAAGCCUACCAAGGCAACGAUCAGUAGCUGGUCUGAGAGGACGACCAGCCACACUGGGACUGAGACACGGCCCAGACUCCUACGGGAGGCAGCAGUGGGGAAUUUUGGACAAUGGGGGCAACCCUGAUCCAGCAAUGCCGCGUGAGUGAAGAAGGCCUUCGGGUUGUAAAGCUCUUUUGUCAGGGAAGAAACGGUAGUAGCGAAUAACUAUUACUAAUGACGGUACCUGAAGAAUAAGCACCGGCUAACUACGUGCCAGCAGCCGCGGUAAUACGUAGGGUGCAAGCGUUAAUCGGAAUUACUGGGCGUAAAGCGUGCGCAGGCGGUUGUGUAAGUCAGAUGUGAAAUCCCCGGGCUCAACCUGGGAAUUGCAUUUGAGACUGCACGGCUAGAGUGUGUCAGAGGGGGGUAGAAUUCCACGUGUAGCAGUG